RNAcentral lists this long non-coding RNA (13006 nucleotides) under Lactuca sativa (garden lettuce). Its description in RNAcentral is "long non-coding RNA (LSAT_LNC003187)". The record is from RNAcentral. Lineage: Eukaryota; Viridiplantae; Streptophyta; Magnoliopsida; Asterales; Asteraceae.
CGUUUAUCUUGGUGGAAAUUGGUGAAUCGUCAUUCACCUACCUUCAAAUAUUUUAUAGCUUGGAUUACGGCAUACCUCUUCUAAGUUAUAAAAUAGUUUGUUGGGUCCUAGCCUUAAUAUUUCAUAUUGGGUGUCAUAUUAAGGACUUUAAAUCAACUAUCUUGAAUAUCUCCCAAAAGAUGUCUGUAAUAGACACCUAUGAUCUUCCCAAAUCUAGUGAAACAAGGUUUCCUAAAUGAAGAUGAUGUCCUUUGGAAAUCAUACUUCUUUCACCUCCUCCAAUUAUUCUCCCUAACCCACAAGUUCUUGAAAAGUUUAAGGUCACUCAAGCCCUAUUGGCAAGGCAAGGUCUAGGUGUGAUCACAUCUUGGAGAUGUAGUCACAUAUUGACAAGCCGGGAGAGUUGGGUGUCAAAGUCUUGAGAAAGUUGGUGGUUCAAUCACUUUCUAAGUCACAUAGUGAGUUCCUUUGGGACACCUAUGAAACAGACUAUGACAAGACCCUUAAUGAUCUUAUCUAUUUGCUAAGAUCAACUUCCUAAAACUUUAUGGACAUUGACAAUGAUGACAUUGGAUAUCCAGUAAAGCAUUCUCUUCCCAAUGGAAAGGGAUCGGCCAUAGUCAACUCGGUUGACCAAAUGGUAAAGAGAAAAGCUAAGUCUGUGAUAGUCUCGUGUACCAUUAUCAAAGGGUCCAUAUGUUUAUAUUGCCAAGGGAAGGGGCAUUGGUUGCGAAGCUGCCAAAUUUACCUAAGGAUGUUAAAGUCAAUAAGUUUGACUCUACUUCAGGUAAAGACCACUAUCUAACUCUGUUAAGUUUCUAUUCUGAGAUUCCUGAUACAUGAUGUGACUGGGUCACAUGGUGAUGUUUUAAGAAUCAAAGAAAAGUGAAGAAACUUAAAGAAAGAAUAUGCUGAAUCUGAUGGCGUAGAUGGAUUUCUAUCGCAUAGUUUGAAGAUCGGAUUCUUGAGCAACUUCUUAGGAGUUAUGAGAUAUUGCUUAGGAAUAGAUAACAACAAGUUUUCAUAUGGAUUGUAAGGAUAAGUUUUUCCGCAAAGUUUUAAAAUAAAAGAAAAUUUUUUUGAUUUUAUUUAUUUUAAAAUAUCCUUACAAUGGCUUUUGAGGAAAAAUUGUUGCUUAUAUGAUUCCAUUAAGAGCAAGAGUGGAAAUAUGAAAUUGAUUCUUUCAUUUGUGGUAAUGUCUAGAUUUACCAAAUAAGGAAAGAUUCUCAUCACCCAAGUUUCAAUUGGACCGGAACUUGGAAUCAUGCAAGUUGUAUAGCAUGAUGAAUGAGAACUUUCAAGUUUUGGAAAAUUAAGACUAAUUACUCGGCCACAUGGAUGUGUGAGUCAAGUAAAGGACUAAGGGAUCGAGUACACAUUCUUGUGCACUGAUUAAGUCCACCACAAAAGAUUGAUAAGACUAUUCGUCAUAGUUUACUAAAGCUCAGUAAAUAUGAUUAUACUUACAAGCUUAAGUGUAACUCUGAGACAUUGGAAAAGGUUCCAAUGUAUGGCAGGGCGAAUAAGAAGAAUCAAAUAAGGCAGAAGGAUAAAAGUUUCUCAAAUCUGAAAAGAUGGGAGAGUACUUUAGUAUCAGUUUUGUGAUCAUCUUAAUGAUUAAGAAACCAUAUCAAAAUUAGUUCUCUAAGGAAAUCUUAGUGCAUUCUUAUGACUAAGAAGAGGAACUUGAAUUGUUGAAAUGGUUAAAUCAAGAAGAUGAGUCAUACUUCGUUCCAAUACAAGUCUUAGAGUCAUACUCCAAGAUUGUCAUUUGAGUGACAUGUCUUAAAGAAGGUUUAAAACACUUGUCAAAUGUAAGAGUAAAAGUUUUCUACUCUUGUACAUUUGAAAUUGGUAAGUUGUGAUGUUUUGGAUAAAACAAAGACCAACUUAGGCCAAUUGGGUAAAGUGUUUUUCUUGAUUAGAAUCCGCACUAUCUCUUGGAUGUUUGACAAGGGAGUCUUAUAUGUCAAGAGGACAGUGGGAGUCUUAAAGGUCUUGAAAGUCUCAAGAACUAAUCAAGAAUAAAACCUGAAGUUCUUCACUAGCACACGACUUGAGGUUCAUAACCUAUCGUGUUGACAUAUUCUGUGCCCAUUCCAGUUAAAGUUGGCUUUGCAUAUGAGUUCUUAGAGUUCUCAAUUUGUUGCACAACAACUUGGAAGCAAUGGUAGGCCCUUGAGCUGCCAGGUGGCAAGAAAUUAAGAUUGAGUUCAGUCCAUAUGAGUUUGGAUUUGUCAUUAUCCUUGUCUUGUGACUAUGAUUUUGACAAUUCACAUGGAUAAGAACACAUACACCAUUAAAUCUAAGUGUCAUAAGGUUUCUCUCCGAUUCAUGAAAAUGAUGGUGAGGAAACACUUUCACUAAGUAGAUUUUAGCUAGAUAGCAAUUGUGAUAUUUGCAUUCUCAAAGUCGUUAGUGGAGCGCGUGUGGUUAACCGGCACACUAAUUUGGACUUGUGAGAAGUGGCAAAAAGGUCUAAACAUUAUGAUUACGGCAUCCCUCUUCAUAAUUGUUUAGAUACACAAGUGUGCUAUCUAAGGGAAGGUGUAUGAUUUUGAUAAAGUUUUAUCAAAACAAUCUAGCAUCAGAAAUCUGAACUUUGGUAAGAAAGUCAAUGAAGUAUUGAUUUCUAGAAGUCCAGCUGAUUUCUGAGUACAUGUCAAAGCUAGUGGGAGCAUAAGUGUUAUGCUAAUAAUCAUCAUGUUAGUGGGAGCAUGAUAAUUAUGAUAAGUAUUGCAAGUUAGCAAUGUUAAUUAUAGAAAACAAAAGUUUCAAUUGGGAAAAAGUUGUUUUGCUAUAAUUAAGGGAGAGGAAAUUAUGCUUCAUCUCAAAUCUAUAAGCUUAGAUCGUGAGGUUUUAAUCAUUUAGUCAAGGAUAUAUAUGAAUUUCAUGUUGGAAUGGCUCAACAUAAGGAAAUUCUGUAUAUGGGUCCAUUAUUUGCGUUCUAAAAUUCGAUUAUGAUUACGGCAUCCCUUUUCAUAAUCUGAAUUAUGAGAACUUGGCAAAUUGAAAUGGAAAUGUUAUAGCAAAAGACUGGUUUAGUCUUUAUGUGAGACAUCAUGAAUCGUGUCCCAUAUGCUUCGGAUAUAGGAUCGAUUACAUGUGCUAUAUUCAUCCGUUCUAAAAUUUUCCAAAUGCCUGGGGCAUUAAGAAGGGAAAAGGUUUAGAACUGGAUAUGACUAAAAGGAUUAAACAAUUGUCGAGGACAAUCUAAGGUUUACCAAAGAUUGGUUGCUCAAGGACAGUUGGAAGUAUAGUGAUAAUUCUGGAAGGACCAUAUUGACAUAAUCUGUAAGGAGGCAACUCUUGUUCAGAAGUGAUAGUCAAAAUGGAAUCUGGAAAUGUUUCAAAGUUAGAAUUUUCAAUCUGUUUAAGAUUAGGAAACUUAAUGCAAGAAGGAUGUUUCCAAGGAGCUGAUCUCCUUUGGAAUACUCUGUAAUGAUUGUUGUCAAGUCUUUCUGACUUUGUGCAUAAUCAUUACAAGAGGAUCAAUGCAUAUAAGUUUAGAAUCUAACAGAUUUCAGUAAAUGGCAUGAAUUUGGAAUUCUUGCAUUUGCAGUAAGGAUUUGGGAGUGUGAAAAGAGAAUCAUUGAAGUUAUGUUCAAUUGAUCUAGUUCACAAAGUAAAGAUCAUAGACAAACAUAGUAUGCAUACUUGGUGUGUGGCAUGACUAGUGUUUAAGAAAACAUAGUGUACAUGCUUGGAGCAUGGGACAACUAUUGUUUUAAAUUCAAGAAUAAAGUUGAUAGCUGAAACAGUAUACAAUGAAUAAUGUGUAAUCAUAUGGUGAUAAAUAAAAGGUGUUUUAUUUAUGUUCAAAGGGUUGAUACCAUAUUGGAUUCAAUUAUUAUUGUGUUUCACUUUGCAUGUUUUGACUUCCCGAAUAAACUAGGUUAUUCUUCCGGAAUGACUAAGUUAUUCAAACCAUCCACAGUCGGUCAUAUGUUGGAAGUAGAUAUGAAUUAAGACUGUCAUGGGUUGGCUUGUAGAGGUCUAAGGUGUUGGACAAAGGGCUACAACACUCAUGAGUGCUCAUAAGUUCUGAGUAUUGGAUUCAACCCGCGCUCAUUGGAAUCACUUCAUGGAUUUUAUCACGAGUGAUCAUGAGACGAUAAUAUCUUAUAUUCUUCAAACCUAGAGAUAUGAGUUGUUACUAUGAGUUGAUAGUACAUUGAUUGCACGAAAACGCAUUUGGUAACUCGGUGCUAUAAAACGUGCCUUUGUGUAUGAUUCAACAAGUAGUAGAACAAGCCAUAUGAGUCGAAGUUUAUCCGUUCCUUUUACCUUCGGGAUAAAAGCGAUAUCUGUGGGCCCCUCGAUGAUUUGAUGAUGACAAAUGGAAGUGCUCGGCCGGGCCAGGACUGAUUUGAUUUGUUCAAUUAGUCAGUCGUCAUAAAUCGGAAAUCGGGAAACAACAAAUGGACAGAGAGAAUGAUUAUAAUCCAUGUCUCAGUCCAUAUGAUAUCUAGAAUGGAGGAAUAUAUGAUCCCUUAUCUAAUGGACAAGUCAUUGACAAAGGUCAGAGUUCAUCUACAAGGUCAGAGUUCGACAGAAGCUUUUGAGAGCUACGAUUGCCAGUUGGUUCCUGAAGUCAUACGCAAUAAUAGUUUUAGACUUAUCCAAGUGGGAGACUGUUGGAUUAAUGUCUAAGUCCAUAACUAUAAUUGGUAAGACUUGACCCGACCCGGCAUGGUCCAUUUGGGUUGCAUGGCAUCAUGCACUUGGAUAGACUAAAUGAGAGAAAUAAGACACUUAUGGUUAUUAAUAUAUUAUAAGUUCUAGUAUAUUAAUAAUCAGAAUAAUGAGAUUAUUUAAUUAGUAUUGAUCAAGAAUUAAUCUAGGAUUAAUUAAGUGAUCAAAAGAAGACUAAUUAAAUAUAUGGGUCGAUUGUGUAAAUCAUCCAUACUUGUAUAGUGGGCUAAUGCUCCAUGGAUAAUCAAGUUGGGAUAAAACCCAUAAGAUGGUCCAUGGAUGCUCCAUGGUGUAUUUGAACCCAUGGAUCCAAGGAAAUGGAAAGCCAUGACAAUUAAGGGUUUACCCUAAUUGUAACACUAUAUAAAGAUCACAUUCUUGGGAAAAAUCGGCCACUAGAGAGAGUAAGAAAGGGCUAGCCGAUUUUCAUGAAGUGUAGAAUUCUCUCAAGUCAUUCCAUUUGUAUUUGGUGUUGUGUGAACCAUUUGAGGUGUCACACUUGGGGCACUAGGCACUCAAGCUUCAUGAAGACUUUCUACAUCAAAGAGGUAUGUAUUCUAUCUUGUUACACUCAUUGUUUUGUAUGCUAGAUUAGGAUAAUACCUUGGAUGUUCUUAUUUGCAUGUAUAAUAGAGAAAACAUAGAUCCAAGGUAUUUAGGGUUGCAUGUACACUUAAGAGUGUUCGAAUGCUCAAAACCCAAUAGGUCCUAGUUAUGUUCUCCAUCUUUUUACUUUCUUUGAUAGGCAGGAAGUGUGCGGACUUGGUUAACCUGUCUAUGAUCACCCAUAUGGUAUCGAAACCACCCGUUGUCUUGAGCAACUUUGUUAUGAAGUCCAUCGUGAUCCGCUCCCAUUUCCACUCAGGUAUCUCCAGUUGUUGAAGUAAACCUGAUGGUUUUUGGUAUUCGACCUUAACCUUAGCGCAAUUAAGGCAUUUACUCACGAAGGUAGCAAUCUCUGCUUUCAUGUUAGGCCACCAGUAUUGCUUUUUAAGAUCCAUAUACAUCUAUCUAAAACUNAGAAUAUUGAGUAUUGUGCACUUCUAUAAUGACCAAGUCACUGAAUCCACCGUGCUUCGGUGUCCAGAUUUGAUCUAUGAGAUAUAAGGCUCCGCCACCUUUGACUUCCAAGUUCUUAUCCAUCCCUAUUAGGGAUUCAACCGCCACAUUUUCAGGUUUCAAGGCUUCGAGCUGAGACUUCUUAAUUUGUCUGGACAGUUGUGAAUGGAUAGUCAUAGUCAAUGAUUUGACUCUACGACCAGAGUAUUCUUUCUGACUUAGGGCGUUAGCUACUACGUUGGCUUUACCAAGAGGAUAACAAAUUUCACAUUCGUAAUCACUGAGUAGCUCGACCCACCGUCGUUGUCUCAUGUGGAGCUCCUUCUGGUGGAAUAUAUGUUGAAGGCUUUUGUGAUAUGUAAAGAUAGUGCUUUUGUACCGUACAGGUAGUGUCUCCAGAUCUUCAGAGCAAACAAAACUGCUCCUUACUAAAGAUCAUGUGUGGUGUAGUUGACCUGGUGUGUCUUUAGCUGCCUUGAGGCAUAUACGAUGACCUUACCUCGUUGCAUGAGAACACAACCGAGUCCUUGAUUUGAUGCAUCACAAUAAACUAUAAAGUCUUCUCUCCCAUCUGGGAGGGAUAGUAUGGGUGCGGUGCAUAAGGCUCGUUUUAGCAUUUGGAACGCCUUCUCUUGUUUCUCUUCCCAGUCAAAGGCCAAGCCUUUCCUGGUCAACGUAGUAAGUGGUUUCGCGAUCCUAGAGAAGUUUUAAAUCAACCUACGAUAGUAGCCAGCGAGGCCUAGAAAUUAGCGAAUUUUUGUAGGCGUGUUUGGUUCUGACCAGUUCUCAAUGGCCUUUAUUUUGGAAGGGUCCACAUGAAUUCACUCUUCACUAAAAAUGUAACCUAGGAAUUUGACUCUUCAAAUCAAAAACUCGCAGUUAGAGAACUUCGCGUAGAGCUUCUCUGAUCGUAAGGUUUCCAAGAUCUGACGUAGAUGCUUAAUAUGAUCUUCCUUACUAUGAGAGUAGAUAAGUAAGUCAUUAAUGAACACAACGACGAACCGAUCCAAAUAAGGAUGACAUACCCCAUUCAUUAAGUCCAUGAAUACUACGGGCACAUUAGUCAAUUUGAAUAGCAUCACUACAAACUCGUAGUGUCCGUAAUGAGUUCGGAAGGCUGUCUUGGGAACAUCCUCCUCUAGCACUCGUAAUUGGUGAUACCCGGAUCUCAGAUAUAUCUUUGAAAAGAAAUUCACCCCUUGCAGUUGGUUGAUCAAAUCGUCUACGCAAGGCAGAGGGUAUCGAUUCAUAACGGUAAGCUUGUUUUGUUCUCUGUAGUUAAUGCACAUACGAAACGAUCCAUCUUUCUUCUUCACAAACAAGACCGAUGCUCCCCAGGGUGAGAAGCUUGGUCUAAUAAAACCCUUGCUAAGAAGUCCGUUAAGUUGAUCGGAUAGCUCCAGCAUCUCAGCUGGUGCUAGACGAUAGGGCGAUUUGGCUACAGGGGUAGCUCCUGGAACUAAGUCGAUUCUGAACUCGAAUUGACACUGAGGAGGUAAUCUUGGUAGUUCUUCUAGAAAGAUGUCGGGAAAAUCAUGUACCAAUGGGAUGUUUUUUAUGUCCUUCAUCUCUAGGCUCACAUCGACAACAUGAGUAAGGAAUGCGCAACAUUCCUUUCGCAAGUACUUUUGGGCUUGAAUACUCGAGAUGAUACGAAGGUUCGUGUCGGGUUUGUCGCCAUAGACAACUAGAGUUUCACUAGACGGUAGAUUAAAGCGAAUAACUCUUUCAUAACACAUUAUGUCGGCACGAUAAAGACUCAACCAAUCCAUGCUAAUAAUGACGUCGAAACUUUAAUUGAGUCCAGUAUGAGGUCGAUUGAAAAUGAAUGGCUAUCUUGAGUUAGGGUACUUCCUAUGUAUAUACUGCUAGUGCUCCCAGUCUUUUCGUUAGCCAUUUCUACAGUGAACGGUUCUUUAAGUGCACGUGGUUUUUGCUUAAGUAAGUGAGCAAAUUUUUGGUUCACAAAACUCCUCUCCGCUCCACUAUCAAAUAGUAUGCAUGCAUAUGAGUUAUCGAGAAGAAUCGUACUGGUGACCACUGUGGGGUUGGCAACCGCUUCCUCGUGGCCUAUAGCCAAAACUCUUCCCACCCAGCCAGCGUUCCCUGCUUUCGGAUAGUUCCUCUUGUAGUGGCCCACCUCGCCACAUCUGUGGCAAGCCUGACCCACACCAACGCUGGGGACUUUGUUGAUCAGCCUUGUCGGAGCUUUGCAGAAACAGGUUGUGUGCCCUUUCUUGUUGUAGUUGGCGCACUGCAUUUCCCGACAGGGUCCAUUAUGGUGGAAGCUGCACUUGUUGCACUUUGGCAAGCUCCCAAAAUACUGCUUCAUCGGCGCAGUAGCAGUAGGGGUUAUCGCAGCAUGAACGGCUACGACUUGCUACUUUUUUGGCAGAACUCUGUGUCGUGAUCUUCUUCUUAUUAUCCCAGAACUUCUGCUUGUUAUCAACGGCUUUGGAGGGUUUAUGAUGGCUAGGGUUGUUGUUGUAUUUGGGGCGCGGACUCCAUGAUCAAUGAGUCGUUGUGCCUAUCGCUUGGAACUAUGGAAGGUAGUGGGGUUUGAAGGUAAAACAUUCCCCUGAAAUGGAGCCACCAACCCCCAGAUAUACCUCUCAACUUUCUUUCCCUCAGUAUGGACCAUUCCCGGACAUAGUGCUACCAGAUUGCUAAAUCUGGCAGUACAGGACACUAUGUCGGUGUCCUUCAUGAUCAGGCUCCAGAGUGCUUGUUCAGGUUUCUAAACUUCGCCCCUCGGGCGGUACUCUUCUAUCAUGAGCUUCUUCAGAGCUUCCCAACCCAUAUCAAUAGCUACUAUUAGAGUUAGUGACUUGACAUGGCUAUUCCACCAUGUCAGCGCUCUGUCCAAGAAGGUGCAUGCAGCAAAUUUGACUUUGCUUCCUUCCGGACAGGAAAAAAUCUCAAAGAUCGUUUUUGAUUUCUCGAACCAUUACGAGAGGUAAUGAUUCUGCCAGUCCCGUUGAUGGAUCUGGGCUUGCAGUUGGUGAAGUCCUUAUACCAGCACUCCCUAGAGCGCAUUAGAGAAUCACCUUGAGUGGAAUGCAUAGUUGUUCCACUCCCGCUAGUUCCACUAGCACUGAACUGAGUUAGGGCAGCUGUAACAGUUGCAUUUACCGCAGCUUGGAAAGCCGCCAGAUUGUAUUUUGGAGGAGGUGGAGGUGGUUACGUAGGAGUUAUCGGAGGGUUACGCCUUGUCACUCUCCAUGGAGGCAUCUUUUAACUAAAAGUUUACAAAGAUGAGGAUGAUAAUAAGGAUCAAUUGUAAGUUUAAUGAGUGUGGUCCAUGGACUAACUCUCCAUCGUCCAACAAAACAAAUGGAUGUAUGAUUGAUAUAGAGAUCUAGCAGUAGAUGUCUGAAAACACUUGGAUAUUGAUUCCUCAAAAGAUUAGAUAACUAUCAAUAAUAUUGGCAUUAAUGAUGUAACAAGUUUGGAAAAAUGACCUAAAAGUAGGUCUUACAUCAAACCACAACUAAGGGUAUUUCGACAGUAUAGUGAGCUAGCAAGAGUACUAGAAAAUUAGGAAUAUUUAUAGGGAAUAGCGCUACAUACUGUUGGAUUAAUGUCUAAGUCCAUAAUUAUAAUUGGUAACACUUGACCCGACCCGGCAUGGUCUAUUUGGGUUGCAUGGCAUCAUGCAUUUGGAUAGACUAUAAUGAGAGAAAUAAGACACUUAUGGUUAUUAAUAUAUUAUAAGUUCUAGUAUAUUAAUAAUAAGAAUAAUAAGAUUAUUUAAUUAGUAUUGAUCAAUAAUUAAUCGAGGAUUAAUUAAGUGAUCAAAAGAAGACUAAUUAAAUAUAUGGGUUGAUUGUGUAAAUCUUCCGUAACUUAUAUAGUGGGCCAAAGCUCCAUGGAUAAUCAAGUUGGGUUAAACCCAUAGGAUACUCCAUGGAUGCUUCAUGGAGGUUACAUAACCCAUGGAUCAUGGAAAUUAAAGGCCAUGUCAAUUAGGGUUUACAUGGUGUAACCCUAACUAUAUAAGCAUCUUAUUCUUGACCAAAAUCGGCCACUAGUGUGAGUAAGAAAGGGCUAGCCAAUUUUCAUGAAGUGUAGAAUUCUCUCAAGUUAUUCCAAGUGUAUUUGGUGUUGUGUGAACCAUUUGAGGUGUCACACUUGGGGCACUAGGCACUCAAGCUUCAUGAAGACUUUCUACAUGAAAGAGGUAUGUAUUCUAUCUUGUUAUAUUCAUUGUUUUGUAUGCUAGAUUAGGAUAAUACCUUGGAAGUUCUUAUUUGCAUGUAUAAUAGAGAAAACAUAGAUCCAAGGUAUUUAGGGUUGCAUGUACACUUAGGAGUGUUAGAAUGCUCAAAACCCAACAGUGGUAUCAGAGCCUAGGCUUGUUUUCAAUUAUACUUGAUGCAAAUUGCUGAAAAAUGCUGAAAAACUCGAUUUUCUGGCUUUCUGGGCACUGGACUCGCCGAGUCCACUAAUGAACUCGCCGAUUCCAUGAGUAAAAUUAUCCUACUCGUCGAGUAGGUUCAUGCACUCGAUGAGUAGGAGCCCUAGACAGCAUAUUUUCAAGGUUUUUGGCUAGAAAUGGACUAGGAACAUUACCCUAAGUUGUUUUUGGACUUAUAAACUUGUUUUUGAUGUGGUAAUGUUCAUGCUAAUCCAAUUUCAAAGAUAAUUGUCAAUAGAUUCAUGUUUUGUAUUAGUUUAAGGUUUAGACUAAUUACAUGAAAAAGUUUGAUUUGAAUUAUCUUGUUCUUAUGAGUUGCUUAGAUUAAUAGAAAAGUUGAGUGAAAUAGUUGUUUUCAAUCCAAAUUAAUCUAAGAGUUGAUUCUAAAAUGUGUUUUUGUAACUUGUCCUCAAGUUAUAUGAAAAGUCACAUUUAAGUUUCAUAAAACUCAUAAAAGUUGGCAAAGGUUACAAAAUGAAGAGUCUAGUUCUAAUUAAAUGGUUUUAUGACUCCAUAACUUGUCCUCAAGUUAUGGAGGACCAAGAGUCUCUUCAUUAAAUAAUAAAUAAAAAAAAAAGUGACCUGAAUUAAUUCCAUAAGUUAUAAAACAAAGAAAAGUUAAUUCUUUUAUUAGUUUAAAGUCUUCCAUAACUUGUCCUCAAGUUAUGGAACUUGAAGAGUUUUUGGAUUAAAACUACUUUAAACACAUAAGUUAUGGAAUUAAUUAGUUUUGAAUAGUUUCAAAACUUGCCCUCAAGUUUUGGAAUUUGUAAAGUUUUCACUUAUGAAUACUUUAAUUCCAAGUUAGCCCUUAGAAUUUUAAAAGUUAAAAUUCAACCCUUAUACUUUAUAAUAUUAUAAGUUAAUAAUAUAUAUAUGUAUAAGAGUAAAGUCAGUCUUACCGUUAGUAGGCCUCAUUCAUGAAGCCGGUCUAUAAGGGGGGUAUAAGGUUACUGCCUAUAAAAUGGCAGUUUAAUGGGUGUCCACUCUCACCCACCGCUUCCUUGACUGGUGGAGGGUCGUUAGCCGAACGGGUAGGACAAGGACUAUAAUUCUCCCUUCAUUAAAAGUAUUAAUUAUAAAUACUAAGUAACUAAACUCUUAAUAAUACCCAAUCUUAGAUACUUAGGAAAAUGUGAAUAAGGUGCUAAUCCAUGAAAUUACACUUUGGACUUUGUUUAAGUCGGUUAGUCGAGCGUGUCUGGUUAACUGGCACACUAACUCGUAUUUAGCAAGGUAGGCAAAUGGUAACUUAAUAUUUAUCAUAGUAUCAAUGGAGCGUGUGUGGUUAACCAGCACAUCGAUUGAGGGGUAAACACAUAAGGGUACCAAGUAAUUUGCAUGGUUACUUCACACCUUGUUUUGUGAUCCUCGGCAUCCUAUUCACAAAACCUGAAGGGCACACUCGAGAUUGAAACAUGCCAUUGAAAAGUUCAAUGAAUCUCAAAAGAUCUAAUAGUUUCAAAUCCAAUUAAAACCUAAUAGUACAUUUCGUUUUUCAUGGUUAACGCAAUCAAAGCUUUCGUCCUUGGCCGCUCUUCUAGAAGUUCUCUAUGUGAACAUAGGAUCCUAUAUAAACAAUCCGAAAUGCUAGACUAACUGUUCUAGAGGCAAACUUCGUGUGGAGCUAAUUGUUUGCAUUUCCCAUCUCAUGGAAAACGAUUCUAGUGAGUCCCCCUAUGGUGAACAAAAAUAUGGACCCUAGGCUCGCAGCUUCACUCAGCAGAAGAGCCUGACUUUCUAUUAGUCAAGCGCUAGCGCCCAACUGGGCUUUUAAGGGACAAGGAAAGGGAAGAAAAGAAAGAUGGUCACUCCUUUUAGGAACAUGGCUCGUUCAUUCUCACAAAGGGGGUCGCAGCGACCAGGCCCGGGCGACUGUUUACCAAAAACACAGGUCUCCGCAAAUUGGUGAAUCGUCAUUCACCUACCUUCAAAUAAUUUAUAGCUUGGAUUACGGCAUCCCUCUUCUAAGUUAUAAAAUAGUUUGUUGGGUCCUAGCCUUAAUAUUUCUUAUUGGGUGUCAUAUUAAGGACUUAAGAUCAACUAUCUUGAAUAUCUCCCAAAAGGUGUCUGGUUUAGACAUUUAUGAUCUUCCCAAAUCUCUUGAAACAAGCUUUCCUAAAUGAAGAUGAUAUCCCAUGGAAAUCAUACUUCUCUCACAUCCUCGAAUUAUUCUCCCUAACCCACAAGUUGAAGGUCACUCAAGCCCUAUUGGCAAGGUAAGGUCUAGGUGUGAUCACAUCUUGGAGAUGAAGUCACAUACUGACAAGCCGGGAGAGUUGGGUGUCAAAGUCUUGAGAAAGUUGGUGGUUCAACUACUUUCUAAGUCACAUAGUGAGUUCUUUUGGAACACCUAUGAAACAGACUAUGACAAGACCCUUAAUGAUCUUAUCUAUUUGCUAAGAUCAACUUCCUAAAACUUUAUGGACAUUGAUAAUGAUGACAUUGGAUAUCUAGUAAAGCUCUCUCUUCCCAGUGGAAAGGGAUCAGCCAUAGUCAACUCGGUUGACCAAAUGGUAAAGAGAAAAGCUAAGUCUGUGAUAGUCCCAUGUAUCUUUAUCAAAGGGUCCAUAUGUUUAUAUUGCCAAAGGAAGGGGCAUUGGUUGCGAAGCUGCCAAAUUUACCUAAGGAUGUUAAAGUCAAUAAGUUUGACUCUACUUCAGGUAAAGUCCACUAUCUAACUCUGUUAAGUUUCUAUUCUGAGAUUCUUGAUACAUGAUGUGACUGGGUCACAUGGUGAUGUUUUAAGAAUCAAAGAAAAGUAAAGAAGCCUAAAGAAAGAAUAUGUUGAAUCUGAUAGCGUAGUUUGAAGAUUGGAUUCUUGAGCUACUUCUU